UUUAUUUCAAAUAUCCAAACAACCACGUGUACAAGGACCAAUUUGAUGGAAACGCACCAAAUUUUAGUUUUAACUUUUCACUUUCAAUUUUUUUCUAUUUUUCCAAUUUUAUCCCUCUUUACCCAUUCCUUCCAUCCUCACAUUUCACUUAGACACAUCAAACAAGUCCCUGAGUCUUCACCUUCACGGUAAAACCUUCACCAUCUUCAUCUCUCCAAAAGCAUCAUCAUCUUCAUUGAUCAACGUUGGAAAAGAUUGCGUUUUGAUGGAAGAUUUCAUCUUUUGUUAAGGUAACGCCGUUCCUCUUCUUUUUCUUUUUAUCUCUGUUCGUUUUCUCCCAUUUUUGUGACCUUAUUUUAUUUUUGUUUUCAUUUUUUAUCCAUUCAUUCUCAACUUUAAACUUCAUUUGAUGCUUGCUUUGUUGUUUGUUUAUGAGUGUUGUGUUUUUGAGACCGUUUUUUAGAUUAUUCAUUUUAGGAUUUUCCGUGUAAGACUUAAAAAUUUGAUUUUUUAUGGUUGGUUUCUAAAAUUGAUGAGCAUGAGAUCAGUAAUGAAGAAAAUCACUGGUUGAUUAAAACAAUUUUUAAAAAGGGUUUCUUUCAUAUGGUAGUGAAUUCUAAUUUACAUUUUGAUGUUGUUUUGUUUGUGAUUAUGACGAAUGUUACCAAAUCAUUUUAGAUUGUGCUCUAAAUUAUUUUAGAUUGUGUUCCAAAAUGUUUUAGCAAAACAUGAGGAUUAAGAAAACACUUUUUAAUAAUGAUUGCAUUCAAUUGAUGACACAACUUGACCUUUGGUGUAGUUGUCUAUUAUUCAAUUAUUCAAUCAAAGAUUUAUAUCUCUUGUAACAGAAGCAAAACUACGUAGUACAAUUACAUAUGAAACUUAUUUUUUCUACUCCAGAAAUGAUAUAACAAAGAUGCAAGUAUGAAAUCUCCUUGGAAAGUGAUACACUGAAUGCUAUAAACUACUGCAUUUUAUUUUUAUCACUUGACCAUUGAAUUAUUCUCUGAAAUAUUUGAAUAUCCUGCAAAAUUCAAGAGCUUGAUUUUAAUGUGUUUCCAAUAUCAAUCACAAAUCGAUAUUUCACAUCUGCUUUAAGAAGGCGCUCCAUCGCUGUGUUGACAUAAUCAAUAGGAAUGAUCUCAAUAUCAGGCUUUACAUUGUGUUCCGCCGCAAAAUCAAUCAUUUCUUGAGUCUCCUUGAUCCCUCCAAUCAAACUUCCUGCUACUAUCUUUCUCCCUACCAAUAAUGUGAAAUACUUGUGUGUUUAAAUGUUCAUAAUUUAAUUUAAACAUUUAGAAGUGCAUAUUUAGCAUCAUAUGGAAAUGGAAGUAUAUAUAUUUUUCAAAUGCUUAUAUACCUGCAAGUAAAGGAAAAACAGGAAGCUCUAGAGGCUUUUCAGGUGCACCAACCAUUACAAGCUUUCCAUGAGACUUGAGUAAACCAAUCAGAGGUAAUAGCGGAUGAUCCGCUGAAACUGUGUCGAUAAUACCAUCCAAAGUAGCCGUUGCAGCCUACAAAUUAUUCUAGAUUGAUUAGUUCACUAAUUGUCAACUUCUAAAUCGGCAGCUGAAAAAUUUUGUGACUGAUUAAUAGAGACCAACUUGAGAAACUUCACAAAUCUAAUAGUCGCUAAUGUUAACAAUCAUUUUAAUUUAGUGAUCGAUUUGACAUUUUUAUAGUGAAUUAAAUGAUUUAUUGUACCUUCAUCUGCUUUGGAUCACGGCUUAUUAGAAAUGAGUCCGCUCGUAAGUGUUCUAAUGCUUCCUUUUCCUUUUUAGGUGAUGUACUAAUUACGGUCACAUUAGCACCGAAAGCUUUGGCGAAUUUCACGGCCAUAUGGCCAAGUCCACCAAGACCAACAACACCUAUAUUCAUAUCAGGCUUGUCGAGUCCAAAAUGUCGAAGAGGACUAUAU
This 1918-nucleotide long non-coding RNA is filed under the name Medicago truncatula (barrel medic). RNAcentral describes it as "long non-coding RNA (MTRU_LNC002991)". Lineage: Eukaryota; Viridiplantae; Streptophyta; Magnoliopsida; Fabales; Fabaceae. The record is from RNAcentral.